AUGAACGCUGGCGGCGUGCCUCAUCCCUGCCAGUCGAGCGAACGGACGAGAAGCUUGCUUUUCUGAUGUUAGCGGCGGACGGGUGAGUAACACGUGGAUAACCUACCUAUAAGACUGGGAUAACUUCGGGAAACCGGAGCUAAUACCGGAUAAUAUUUUGAACCGCAUGGUUCAAAAGUGAAAGACGGUCUUGCUGUCACUUAUAGAUGGAUCCGCGCUGCAUUAGCUAGUUGGUAAGGUAACGGCUUACCAAGGCAACGAUGCAUAGCCGACCUGAGAGGGUGAUCGGCCACACUGGAACUGAGACACGGUCCAGACUCCUACGGGAGGCAGCAGUAGGGAAUCUUCCGCAAUGGGCGAAAGCCUGACGGAGCAACGCCGCGUGAGUGAUGAAGGUCUUCGGAUCGUAAAACUCUGUUAUUAGGGAAGAACAUAUGUGUAAGUAACUGUGCACAUCUUGACGGUACCUAAUCAGAAAGCCACGGCUAACUACGUG
RNAcentral lists this ribosomal RNA (496 nucleotides) under uncultured bacterium. RNAcentral's name for it is "partial 16S ribosomal RNA". It matches the Rfam family "Bacterial small subunit ribosomal RNA", at positions 29 to 507 of the family's 1533-position model. The record is from RNAcentral.